Callithrix jacchus (white-tufted-ear marmoset) is the source of this 1378-nucleotide long non-coding RNA. RefSeq lists it as uncharacterized. The record is from RefSeq and is a predicted model, not a curated record. Lineage: Eukaryota; Metazoa; Chordata; Mammalia; Primates; Cebidae.
AAAUACCACACUUACUUGGCUUAAUUUUAAUAUAUUUUAAUUUGGUGGGGGCGGGGGGCAAGAGAAGGAGGAUUUAUUCUUGCCUUCACCACCUUGUAUUAAAUGUCCACCGAUGGAAAAGGCAAAAGUGGUGGAGAUUCAAGGCUGCUAAUUCUGACCAUUGUGAUGCUAACGACGAACGCAGGAGUGACUGGCGCCCCACCAUUCAGUCCACCAGCCUUUGGCUUUACAAAUGAACAACAUGAAUUGAGGAAAAAAAAGUUUUUCUGCGUCAUAUCUGAAAGCCUGUCAGAUUUUUUUUUUCUUUUGCAGAGUUAAUCCAAACCUAAAAGAUUUAAAGCCGACAUUCGCAUUAAAGACAGAGAGUCUCUUUGUAUUUUUUGGAUGAAGAGGGAGGAAGAAUAAAAUCCCACAGAGGCAGGUCAGCUGGGAAAAGACGAAGGGAUCCUGAGACAAUGGUGGUAACAGGAGCAGCCUGUUCGGGGCUGGGCUCCGGUUCCCUCCGAGAGCAGUUUGCAAAUUGCUCCUAAUGUGGGAGACCGGUGCACCAGGCCAAGUGGCCCCCACUGCCCCUCCUCGAGGCCCUGUGAAACCAAAUGGAAUCUGCCACAAAAGUGGCUCCCGGGGGACUUGAGAAGGGAUCAGCCGAGGAAGCUGCAAAGCUGGUAACUGGAGGGCACAGGCCCUGUGUGGGGAACAAGCAAUCGCUUGUCUCUGCAGAGUGAGGCUGGCUCAAAAUUGAACCACUGGGGCUUCAAAAAUAAAGCAACGCUGCCUGAAAAUGCAACUUGCAACAGAGGAAUUGUUCUGAAAUUUCUGUGUAAAGUUUCAGAGAAUGAAUGUUUGAGAAAAUACGAGUUUAUGUGCAUUUGGCCAAGCCAAGGGGCAUGACGGGUACGAGUGGUUUACCUUCUGACCCACAUGGCAUGAUCUGUUAGCACCUAUGCUCCCACACCAGACUGAAACUCUUCUUCAUCUUCAAUGUGCCCAAGUUCAGACCCAUAGGGGAGAUAAUUCAAGUGUGCUACCUGCCUACAAACCUGUAACAACAUGGUUCUUCAGUCUACUUCUAUGUGCUUACACUGUCAGUAUCAGAGUGACAUGCUGUGACUUUUACUCAUGGAAAUGUAUAGACAGCUGAAACAGAAGGCCCUUUGGCAAACCCUAAGACUGUCUCCAUGGACCCCAGUUGAAGCAGGUCUGGAAGUGGUCCUGGCACUGCCCUUCCCAGCUAAUCAGACACUUGAGAAGUAACUUCUCAGUAUCGGUUUCCUCAGCCGUACAGUGGACUGUAAGAAUUAAACUCAAUAAUGUUGGUAAAGUGGCUGCAUAGCACUGAUUAUUAAUAAACUUUCUUCAUUUCAAUUGUCAAAUGUCA